RNAcentral lists this ribosomal RNA (454 nucleotides) under Bulinus tropicus. RNAcentral describes it as "partial large subunit ribosomal RNA". Lineage: Eukaryota; Metazoa; Mollusca; Gastropoda; Planorbidae. The record is from RNAcentral.
UCGCCUGUUUAUCAAAAACAUAGNNUAGUGAAUUUAUACUAAAUUAAUUCUGCCCAGUGUCAAAAUUAGAUAAAUGCCCGCAGUACCCUGACUGUGCUAAGGUAGCAUAAUCAAUUGGCUUUUAAUUGAAGUCUGGAAUGAAAGGAUANAUGGGAUCUUUCUGUCUUUAAAAUAUUAAUAUAAAUUUAUUUAAAAGGUGAAAAUACCUUUUUUAAAAAGAAAGACGAGAAGACCCUAAGAAUUUUUAAAAUUAAAUUUUCUUUUAAUUUUUUUGUUGGGGCGACAAUUUAGUAAAAAGUUAACCUAAAUUAUUUAAUAAGGCGAAAUUUUUAAGUAAAAAAAUUACCUUAGGGAUAACMGCAUAAUUUUUUAAUAGUUUGUGACCUCGAUGUUGGACUAGGAACUUUAUGGCUAGCAGCCAAAUAAGAUUUAUUCUGUUCGAAUAAAUUAUCCU